UACGAAGGGGGCUAGCGUUGCUCGGAAUCACUGGGCGUAAAGCGCACGUAGGCGGACUCUUAAGUCGGUGGUGAAAUCCUGGAGCUCAACUCCAGAACUGCCUUCGAUACUGGGAGUCUCGGGUUCGGGAGAGGUGAGUGGAACUGCGAGUGUAGAGGUGAAAUUCGUAGAGAUCCCCAAGAACACCAGUUGCGAAGGCGGCUGACUGGACACAUAUUGACGCUGAGGCUCGAAAGCAUGGGGAGCAAACAGG
This 253-nucleotide ribosomal RNA is filed under the name uncultured bacterium. RNAcentral's name for it is "partial 16S ribosomal RNA". It matches the Rfam family "Bacterial small subunit ribosomal RNA", at positions 524 to 776 of the family's 1533-position model. The record is from RNAcentral.